GGCCGUGUGGCGAAAUGGCAUCGCGUCUGACUACGAAUCAGGAGAUUGUAGGUUCGAUACCUACCUCGGUCA
This 72-nucleotide transfer RNA is filed under the name Galerina marginata CBS 339.88. RNAcentral's name for it is "tRNA-Arg (ACG) (tRNA-Arg-ACG-2-1)". It matches the Rfam family "tRNA". From Rfam's summary of the family: Transfer RNA (tRNA) molecules are approximately 80 nucleotides in length. Their secondary structure includes four short double-helical elements and three loops (D, anti-codon, and T loops). Lineage: Eukaryota; Fungi; Basidiomycota; Agaricomycetes; Agaricales; Galerinaceae. The record is from RNAcentral.